UUGAAAAGUGAUGAGUUUGUUCAUGUCUCUUCUCUGAGUCAAAAGUGAAGAGUGUUGAAUGUCUCUGAUUUCAG
Molecule: small nucleolar RNA, 74 nt
Filed under: Tetraodon nigroviridis (spotted green pufferfish)
Lineage: Eukaryota; Metazoa; Chordata; Actinopteri; Tetraodontiformes; Tetraodontidae
Description: Small nucleolar RNA SNORD111 (ENSTNIG00000020552.1)
Source: RNAcentral